RNAcentral lists this ribosomal RNA (630 nucleotides) under Melampsora laricis-populina. RNAcentral's name for it is "Melampsora larici-populina partial 28S ribosomal RNA". It matches the Rfam family "Eukaryotic large subunit ribosomal RNA", at positions 46 to 654 of the family's 3401-position model. The record is from RNAcentral. Lineage: Eukaryota; Fungi; Basidiomycota; Pucciniomycetes; Pucciniales; Melampsoraceae.
AAAAGCGGAGGAAAAGAAAAUAACUAUGAUUCCCUUAGUAACGGCGAGUGAACAGGGAAAAGCCCAAAUUUGUAAUCUGGCACUUUUUACAAGUGUCCGAGUUGUAAUUUGUAGAACUGUUAUCCGYGCUGGACCAUGUACAAGUCUGUUGAAAAGCAGCAUCAUUGAAGGUGAAAAUCCUGUAGAUGAUAUGGACUACCAGUGCAUUUGUGAUACGGUUUCUAAGAGUCGAGUUGUUUGGGAAUGCAGCUCAAAGUGGGUGGUAAAUUCCAUCUAAGGCUAAAUAUAAGUGAGAGACCGAUAGCAAACAAGUACCGUGAGGGAAAGAUGAAAAGAACUUUGAAAAUAGAGUUAACAGUACGUGAAAUUGCUGAAAGGGAAACGUUUGAAGUUAGUUUUGUAUUCGUUGGAUCAGCUUCGCAAGGAGUGUAUUCUGAUGAUAAGCAAGUCAACAUCAAUCUAUGAGUGUCGGAGAAGGGUUUUGAGAAUGUAGCAAUUUUUAUUAAUUGUGUUAUAGCUUGAGACUUGGAUACGAUGCUUUGGAUUGAGGAACGCGUAGUAAGCUUUGAGCGGAUUCGAAAGGAUCUCCUUACUAUGGAUGUUGGUGAAAUAACUUUAAGCGACCCGUCU